GCACCCGCGGUAAUUCCAGCACCAAUAGCGUAUAUUAAUGCUGCUGCUGUUAAAAAGCUCGUAGUUGGAUCAAGAGUCGGACAGUGCACGGUGGCCCUGUUUGCUAGUCUGGCUACGGUCAGGCUAGCGGCAGCGGAAUUACCCCGUGCGCCAAACUGUCCGCUCUAACAGGCCGAAGCGGUUCCCUGUGAGUAGGCUCCUUCAUUGGGGCUGAAAGCGCCUACGCAUCAACCACAUGCAUACGGGACGUCGGCCAAAGUUACUGUGAACAAACCAGCGUGUCCAAAGCAGGCUUGCGUGAAUGUUCGAGCAUGGAAUAACAAGGGAUCGAUUCUAUCGGUUCUCUUUGUUGGUUUUUAACCCGAUAAGGAGUAAUGCAGGCCACGGUGUCUGAGGUGGGUUUCCCUAGGCCCUCGGUUUAGGCCCCAUCUAGGCCGUGUCCUUACGGGAUCAAUAGGGACUGACGGGGUCGUACCUACUUCCGCGUCAGAGGUGAAAUUCUUAGAUCGCGGGAAGACGAACUUCUGCGAAAGCAUUCGACAAGAAUGUCUUCAUUAAUCAAGAACGAGAGUGUGGGGAUCGAAGAUGAUCAGAUACCGUCGUAGUCCACUACUGUAAACAAUGCCGUCUCAGGAUUGAGAAGUGAACAGAAUGACUUUCACAGCACUAACCCCUGAAACGAGAAAUCAAAGAUUAUGGGUUCAGGGGGGAGUACAUUCGCAAGGCUGAAACUUAAAGGAAUUGACGGAAUGACACCACAAGGCGUGGAGUAUGCGGCUUAAUUUGACUCAACACGGGGAAUUUUACUAGGUCAGGACAAUGUAAGGAUUGACAGAUUGAGAGCUCUUUCUCGAUCCAUUGUGUGGUGGUGCAUGGCCGCUCCUGGUUGGUGGAGUGAUUUGUCUGGUUGAUUCCGUUAACGAACGAGAUCUCGACCCUUAAAUAGGUGCCCAUGUCGUCUGUAGUCUCGUCUCCGCCGGCUUGCUGGAUUGGAGCGGGACGAGACUGUGGGAAUACUUCUUAAGGGGACUGUGUGCGUCUAUAGCACGCGGAAGAGCGAGCCAAUAGCAGGUCUGUGAUGCUCCUAAAUGUCCUAGGCUGCACGCGCACUACACUGAUGCAAUAAACGAGUCUGAGUGCCUUCUGGCAACCUACCCGGAAGCGGGUGGGAAAUCUUUUGAACUGCAUCGUGAUGAG
RNAcentral lists this ribosomal RNA (1197 nucleotides) under uncultured marine diplonemid. RNAcentral's name for it is "bacterial SSU rRNA". It matches the Rfam family "Eukaryotic small subunit ribosomal RNA", at positions 570 to 1574 of the family's 1831-position model. The record is from RNAcentral. Lineage: Eukaryota; Euglenozoa; Diplonemea.